RNAcentral lists this long non-coding RNA (3238 nucleotides) under Sus scrofa (pig). Its description in RNAcentral is "lncRNA (ENSSSCG00040022545.1)". The record is from RNAcentral. Lineage: Eukaryota; Metazoa; Chordata; Mammalia; Artiodactyla; Suidae.
UUUUUUUGUUUUUGUUUUUUUGUUUUUGGUCAUUAGGAAAUCAGACAGCUUAAAUUUACUCAGGUCUAUCAUCUGUGUACUAGAUAAAAUUAUCACAUACCCCAUUAUCACAUAAAAAGACACUACCUCAAAAAGCUCAUUAUAAAUCUGUAUCCCAGUAGCAUUUUGUACAAAAUUUUUGUAGGCUUUUAACCCUAGUGCCCUAGGUCUUGCACUCAGAUGGUGAGCUCCUAGGAUGCAGGUGCCAACUUUAUUAAUCUUUUAUCUUUAACACCUAAACAGAAUUUAUGCUCAAGAAUGUUAGCUGAAAGAAUAGUUUUCAAUUUCUUUAAAGACUCUCCAAUGGGAAAGUAAAUUCCAAAGAACAUAAACAGAAUACUGCCACCUCCUGGGUAAUACAGGUCAGGCAUCCUUUAGCAAAUACCAGGAAGAGAAAGCAUAGAAUUUAUACCUAGGUGCAUCGAAGUUUAAAAUUUAAACCCAGCUCUGUCAUUUGCUGGGUCAAACUGGAAAAUCUCAAUCUUUUAAAAUAUAAGUUUCCCCUUGGACUUCCCGUGUGGCUCACAACAUAAAAUAUAAGUUUCCCCUUCUACAAAAUAGGCAUAGUAUCUGCCCUAUCUCUCAGGAAUAAUCAUGACAGUCAAAUUAGAUAAUGACUAUAAAAGUUAUCUGUUGAUUAUAAAGCAUUUUCCAAGUAUGAGACCAGAGUUGAUAUUUACUGCACCAUGCUAAGGAUAAAAAAUCCUUAUUUUUUAAUUGAAUAUUUUAUUAACGUGGUUGUUGUCGUAACAAGUUCAUCAUAGGAGUUUCCCUGAUGGCACAGCGGCUUAACAAUCAUCAUUGUCACUGCAGUGACUCAAAUCAUUGCUAUGGUGGUUCAAUCCCUGGCCCUGGAAUUUCUGUACGCUGCGGGUGAGGCAAAAAACACACAAAAAAACCCCAAACAAAGAACAAACAGGGAGUUCCUGUUGUAGCUCAGUGGAUUAAGAAUCCGACUAGUAUCCAUGAGGAUGUGGGUUCAAUCCCUGGCCUCACUUGGUGGGUUAAAGGAUCUGGUGUUGCCGUGAGCUGUGGUAUAAGUCGCAGACCCAGCUCGGGUCUGACAUUACUGUGGCUUUGACAUAGGUUGGCAGCUGCAGGUCCCAUUAGACCCCUAGCCUUGGAACUUCCAUAUGCCACAGAAUGCAGCCCUAAAAAAGUAAAACAAAACAAAAUAAAUCCAUCUUAUUCCUCACUAAAAAUCUAAGUAAAUAACCUGCAGCUUGAGGUUCAGAGCCAACUCAUUAAAUUUUCAAUGUCUAAUGACAAAUUUCUUUCUUUAUAUGUUAAUAUAAACUCACUACCAUUGACUUAGUAAAUGUGCUGUUAAACAAAAAAAUAUACCAAAAUUAGGAGUUCCCACUGUUGCAUGCUGGGUUAAGAAACCCACUACAGUAGCUUGGGUCACUGUGGAGGCACGGUUCAAUCCUGGGCCCAGAAUUGUGGGUUAAAAGAAUCCAGCAUUGGGAGUUCCCGUCGUGGCGCAGUGGUUAACGAAUCCGACUAGGAACCAUGAGGUCUCGGGUUCGGUCCCUGCCCUUGCUCAGUGGGUUAACGAUCCGGCGUUGCCGUGAGCUGUGGUGUAGGUUGCAGACGCGGCUCGGAUCCCGCGUUGCUGUGGCUCUGGCAUAGGCCGGUGGCUACAGCUCCGAUUCAACCCCUAGCCUGGGAACCUACAUAUGCCGCGGGAGCGGCCCAAGAAAUAGCAACAACAAAAGACAAAAAGACAAAAAAAAAAAAAAAAAAAAAAAGAAUCCAGCAUUGCCGCAGCUGCGGUGUAAGUCACAGCUGAGGCUCAGAUUCAAUCCCUGGCCUGCGAACUUCCAUAUGCCAAGGGUGGGGCCAUAAAAAAAAAAAAAAAAAGCUAAAAUUAAAACUACUUAGAGAUACCAUUUCUGAUCCACUAGACUAGCAAAAAUCCAAAGGCUUAACACAAACCAUUGAAGAAAUUGUGGUAAAAAGGCUGCCAUAUAUUGUGGAAAUGCAAAACAGCAUAACUCCUUUUGCACUAUUUAGCAAAAUUGCAUAUGCUUUUACCCUUCAAUCUAACAGUUCUACUUCAAGGAAUAUAUUCCAAAGACACAAUGGCAACAUGUCCAAGGCACAUUCAUUCCAGUAAGCAAGGAAGCUACUAUCAAAGACCACUGGGGUUGUUUUACUGCACACCUUAAAUUUGUGAUCUUCUGAUUUUGAGAUUUGAAGUUUUAUUGAGCACCUUUAAAAACAUAACAUCAGGGAGUUCCCGUCGUGGCGCAGUGGUUAACGAAUCCGACUAGGAACCAUGAGGUUGCGGGUUCGGUCCCUGCCCUUGCUCAGUGGGUUAACGAUCCGGCGUUGCCGUGAGCUGUGGUGUAGGUUGCAGAAGCGGCUCGGAUCCCGCGUUGCUGUGGCUCUGGCGUAGGCCGGUGGCUACAGCUCCGAUUCAACCCCUAGCCUGGGAACCUCCAUAUGCCGCGGAAGCGGCCCAAGAGAUAGCAACAACAACAACAACAAAAGACAAAAAAAAAUUAAAAAAAUUAAAAAAAAAUAACAUCAAAAUAAUAAAAUUGGGUUGGAGUUUCCAUCGUGGCUCAGUGGUUAAUGAAUCCGACUAGGAAUCAUGAGGUUGUGGGUUCGAUCCCUGGCCUUGCUCAGUGGGUUAAGGAUCCGCAUUGCUGUGAGCUGUGGUGUAGGCUGCAGAUACAGCUUGGAUCUGGUGUUGCUGUGGCUGUGGUGUAGGCCGCCAGCUAUAGCUCUGAUUAGACCCCUAGCCUGGGAACCUCCAUAUGCCUUAAGUGCAGCCCUAAAAAAUACAAAAAAAAAAAAAAAAAAGAAGAAGAAAUUAAAGAAGUAAUUGCUUUGUUUGGCCACUUUGCCAAACAAAAGUUCCCAGGCCAGAGAUCAAACCUGUGCCACAGCAGUGACAAUGCCAGAUCCUUCACCCUCUGAACCGCCAGGGAACUCCAAUAAGUAAUUAGUAAGAUGAUAAUUUUUCCCAAAUUGAUAUAUAGUUUCAAUGUAAUUCUUACCCAAACCCUAGUAGGCUUCUUUGUAGAAGUUGACAAGCUGAUGGAAAUGUAAAGGACCUGGGAGAACCAAAACAAUUUUGAAAAAGAAUAAAGUUGAAAGACUUACAGAUUUCAAAACUUACUAGAAAGCCCUAAAGUAAUCAAGAGAACAUAGUAUUGUUAAAAGAUAGGAAUGUAGAUUAACAGACCAG